This 747-nucleotide ribosomal RNA is filed under the name Microvelia sp. RHC-2017. RNAcentral's name for it is "SSU rRNA". It matches the Rfam family "Eukaryotic small subunit ribosomal RNA", at positions 510 to 1210 of the family's 1831-position model. The record is from RNAcentral. Lineage: Eukaryota; Metazoa; Arthropoda; Insecta; Hemiptera; Veliidae.
CGGAAUGAGUACACUUUAAAUCCUUUAACAAGGAUCCAUUGGAGGGCAAGUCUGGUGCCAGCAGCCGCGGUAACUCCAGCUCCAACAGCGUAUAUUAAAGCUGUUGCGGUUAAAAAGCUCGUAGUUGGUUCUGUGUGCCACGCUGUCGGUUCACCGCCUGCCGGUGCAACUGACAUGUCGUGGGAUGUCUUGCCGGAGGGGGCCGAAACCCUUCCCUGGGUUGGGCUUAGGUCCUCGCAAUGCUGCCAGGGUGCUCUUUACCGAGUGUCGGGGCAGGCCGGCAAGAUUACUUUGAACAAAUUAGAGUGCUUAAAGCGGGCCUAAUGUUGCCUAAAUAGUUGUGCAUGGAAUAAUGGAAUAGGACCUUGUUACUGUUUUGUUGGCUUUCGGUGAUCAAGGUAAUGAUCAAUGUGGACUGGCGGGGGCAUUCGUAUUGCGACGUUAGAGGUGAAAUUCUUGGAUCGUCGCAAGACGAACUAGAGCGAAAGCAUUUGCCAAGUAUGUCUUAGUUGAUCAAGAACGAAAGUUAGAGGUUCGAAGGCGAUCAGAUACCGCCCUAGUUCUAACCAUAAACGAUGUCGGCCAGCAAUCCGCCAAUGUUCCUCCGAUGACUCGGCGGGCAACCCCAGGGAAACCAAAGCUUUUGGGUUCCGGGGGAAGUAUGGUUGCAAAGCUGAAACUUAAAGGAAUUGACGGAAGGGCACCACCAGGAGUGGAGCCUGCGGCUUAAUUUGACUCAACACGGGA